Molecule: long non-coding RNA, 504 nt
Organism: Mustela lutreola (European mink)
Lineage: Eukaryota; Metazoa; Chordata; Mammalia; Carnivora; Mustelidae
Exons: 3
Source: RefSeq, a predicted model, not a curated record
GAGCAGGGUUCAUAGGAGCCCCGAUUUACAGCUGCUUGGAACAUUCAGUUUGAAACGAGCUUUCGAACAUGGUUAGCCACGACCCUUUUCCAGUCUUUGUCACUGGCAGGCACUGCCUCACUCUGGUUCUUCUCCCAGAGUCUCCGUCAGCAGCAGCAGCAAGGACGCUCCGCCGAGACGUCGCCGGAGGAGCUCCGCGACCCUGCCACACGGCUGGGCGCGCAUUCCCAGGCCCUGCAAACUGAAGACAGACAACCUGAUACAGACUUCGAGAGUCCACGGCAGUGGUGUGUGCACAGACACCUUUUCCUGCCUGCGGCUAUGCGGGACCACAAAGGAAGUUGACCAGAACACCCAGAGCUGUCAGCAGAGUCACCCCAACUGCAAAGCAGGAAUUCAUCAGAAUCACACCCACUGCUCCACCAGCUCCGAUGCUCCAAAGCCAGCAUCCUGGAAAAUCUCAUCUGAUUGCCCUCUACACUCAAAAGCGGAAUUUAGAGUUUG